This 497-nucleotide ribosomal RNA is filed under the name uncultured bacterium. Its description in RNAcentral is "partial 16S ribosomal RNA". It matches the Rfam family "Bacterial small subunit ribosomal RNA", at positions 28 to 507 of the family's 1533-position model. The record is from RNAcentral.
GAUGAACGCUGGCGGCGUGCCUAAUACAUGCAAGUCGAGCGAACAGAUAAGGAGCUUGCUCCUUUGACGUUAGCGGCGGACGGGUGAGUAACACGUGGGUAACCUACCUAUAAGACUGGGAUAACUUCGGGAAACCGGAGCUAAUACCGGAUAACAUUUGGAACCGCAUGGUUCUAAAGUGAAAGAUGGUUUUGCUAUCACUUAUAGAUGGACCCGCGCCGUAUUAGCUAGUUGGUAAGGUAACGGCUUACCAAGGCAACGAUACGUAGCCGACCUGAGAGGGUGAUCGGCCACACUGGAACUGAGACACGGUCCAGACUCCUACGGGAGGCAGCAGUAGGGAAUCUUCCGCAAUGGGCGAAAGCCUGACGGAGCAACGCCGCGUGAGUGAUGAAGGGUUUCGGCUCGUAAAACUCUGUUAUUAGGGAAGAACAAAAGUGUAAGUAACUGUGCACGUCUUGACGGUACCUAAUCAGAAGGCCACGGCUAACUACGUG